CUUCUGUUUAACAUCCAGUAAACGGCUUCGGAAUUAUUCACUUGCCUCUUUUGAUUUGGAUAUUGAAGCUUUCUUUUUGUGUGAACAUGAUUUUAGUGAAAUUUAUUGCUGCUCUUUUAAUUACUGAAGUCGUCAGAGCUCAAGAGUUGGCUUCGUUUGGACAGUUUCCUUCCCACGUAUUUGUCUACGUACAUAACG
Copidosoma floridanum is the source of this 198-nucleotide long non-coding RNA. NCBI's taxonomy places the organism in Eukaryota, Metazoa, Arthropoda, Insecta, Hymenoptera, Encyrtidae. The record is from RefSeq and is a predicted model, not a curated record.